RNAcentral lists this ribosomal RNA (264 nucleotides) under uncultured archaeon. RNAcentral describes it as "partial 16S ribosomal RNA". It matches the Rfam family "Archaeal small subunit ribosomal RNA", at positions 718 to 982 of the family's 1478-position model. The record is from RNAcentral.
AGUCACUGACAUUAGAUACCCCGGUAGUCCAGGGUGUAAACGCUGCAGACUUGGUGUUGGAAGCCCUUUGAGGGUAUUCAGUGCCGGAGAGAAGUUGUUAAGUCUGCUACUUGGGGAGUACGUCCGCAAGGAUGAAACUUAAAGGAAUUGGCGGGGGAGCACCGCAACGGGAGGAGCGUGCGGUUUAAUUGGAUUCAACACCGUAAACUCACCAGGGAAGACUGUUACAUGAAGGCCGAGAUGAAGACUCUGCUAGAUUUUCAG